Molecule: ribosomal RNA, 223 nt
Filed under: Klebsiella aerogenes
Lineage: Bacteria; Pseudomonadati; Pseudomonadota; Gammaproteobacteria; Enterobacterales; Enterobacteriaceae
Also listed under: 6 other names
Description: partial 23S ribosomal RNA
Rfam family: Bacterial large subunit ribosomal RNA
Source: RNAcentral
GACUAAGCGUACACGGUGGAUGCCCUGGCAGUCAGAGGCGAUGAAGGACGUGCUAAUCUGCGAAAAGCGUCGGUAAGGUGAUAUGAACCGUUACAGCCGGCGAUGUCCGAAUGGGGAAACCCAGUGUGAUUCGUCACACUAUCGUUAACUGAAUACAUAGGUUAACGAGGCGAACCGGGGGAACUGAAACAUCUAAGUACCCCGAGGAAAAGAAAUCAACCGA